GGUCCAGUAGCAUAGUGGUUAAUGCAUCAGGGUAUUAUAUUAUGACCACACAUGGGCUUCAUACUGAGCACCCUUGUUUGACUCAAGGCUGGACCA
Molecule: non-coding RNA, 96 nt
Organism: Mycena rebaudengoi
Lineage: Eukaryota; Fungi; Basidiomycota; Agaricomycetes; Agaricales; Mycenaceae
Source: the annotation of a GenBank genome assembly